UUCUUUAAUAUAUGGUUGGUAUAUUUUUUAAUACAUGGUUGAUACAUUUUCAAGUACAUUUCCAACACACAAAUUUAUGUUCGAUAUCUCUCUACGAAGCUUUACUCGUGAAAGCAAUAUUAUUUAAUCACGCUUUGCCCUUUCUUAAAUGUUCAAGAGGUAUAAAUACCCUUGUGAUAAAUGAUUCUCAUCGCUGACAUUUCGUCCGCAUAGCGAUGCGCGCGAGAUACGACUCCGUGCCGAUGUGCUGAUCAGCUGAUCAGACAUGCUUCUAUUCGAAAACUCGAGGCAGAAUUUGCAGCUUAUUGUUUUACGUCGCGAUACAUGAGCUUCCUGUAAGGAUCAGCGCCUGUGACAAUUAUUGACGGAGGCUGAUCACCUCGAGUAUUGUGCAAAAAUGACACAAGAACUGUCCGGUGUAACAAUAGUGAUAUUUAUAGCGGCGGGCGUUUUGACGAUACUGCUGCUGUUCAUCUUCGCGAAACGACAGAUCAUGAGAUUCGCUCUGAGAUCUCGUCGAGGACCCCACGUUCCUAUAGGGCACGAUGCGAAAAAGUCCUUAAAGAAGGAGAUUGAGAGAAGAAUAGAGGUGAUACCUAGAAUUCAGUAUGAACCACAACUCAUCAGUGAUCCUAGGUACAUCCUGACUCCAGGGAGUCAAGCUCCGCCGCAUUAUUACAGGCUGAAAGCGGUGGACGAUGUGAAGACCUUGGAAGCAGAGAUCACCAAGUACGACAAUUGUCUGAAGAGACAUCCUUCGGAGAACCUGAGGGCAUACCUGCUCACCACACUGGCCACUCCGUUGAACGGAAGUGGCCAACGCCUGAUUCACCAGUUCUGCGACUUGUACGAGCACGCAAGGCACGAUCCUACUGAGUUCGGUGACGAGGAAUAUCAAGUGUACACUCGCCUGUAUCUGAAGUUGAUGGAUGCGGCACGUUUACUGAAGUCAUAUCCGAGCAGUAGAAAGUCCAGCCCUAGUCGCACGCCGAUCAAGAAAAGCGUGGAGACAAAGAGAAAUAUUCUGGAACCCAGAAUGCGUCCGCCCGAGGAACAAAUUUUGACCGGUUCCAGGCCGAAUACUCUAACGGUAAUGACGUUAGACAACAGCGAGACGUCCGUGUAGCAUUAUGAGUGUCGUCACAUACAACAUAUGUGACGAGGAAAUUGUAGAUAGCUGGCGAAAGAGAAAGAUAAAUUUCCAAAUACCUGACGAGUUAUGGAUUUCCAGAUCUGUCUGUCGAUAAGCAUAGAAAUCGCUUGUGGGAACAAUCUGAUUCUAAUAUCUUGCGAAGUAAUCAGCAGUUCUUUUUUCGGUAGCAGACAGUCCAUGCCGGACAGACAGAUAACUAAAACGAA
This 1359-nucleotide unclassified non-coding RNA is filed under the name Ooceraea biroi (clonal raider ant). RNAcentral's name for it is "uncharacterized protein C1orf43 homolog, transcript variant X1". Lineage: Eukaryota; Metazoa; Arthropoda; Insecta; Hymenoptera; Formicidae. The record is from RNAcentral.